CUUCUUUCUGUGUUUCUGUUCUCUCUGUCACAGCGGAACAUAAACCACGAACAUAAAGAAUAAAAAGUUGAAUCAACCGAUCGAGAAAUUGAAUUAUAAUUCAUCAAAUACAAGUUACUGACAUCAAUUGAGGUUUAAGAAGAUCAAGAUCAACACAGAAACCAUCAAAACAGCAGAAAAAAAGUUAGGGUAAAAUGAUUUUUCAAUAAUCGAUUUACCAUCAUCUUUAACAACUUCGAUUUGAAGAUUCAAAAAAAGAUUGAAAAAACCAAAAUGAGGAAGCCAUCGAAAGCAAAGUUGAAGAAUAAAGUGCAAGAAGAAAAGGAAUCACCAGAAGUUAAGAAAGGUAAAGCACCAAAAGCAAAGACGAAGAAGAAAACGCAAGAAGAGGAGGAAUCCUCAAAACUUCUAAAAGGUAAAACUGAUUGAUUUGCAUGCGUGCAUAGUUGACUGAACUAAGAAGAUGCAAAAUAAAAGAGUCUACAUGGUGGUAUGAAUCUUGACAGAAAAUGGUGCAUGAAAGCUAGAGGAGAACCGCCAACAACAGGAGGAGGAGCAACUGGACCAAGAAGUUACCCAAAGUUGAAGCCAUAGUCUAAUGUAGGUCUUAAACGUAUUAGCAUAUGUAUGGUAGUGGUAUUUAACAUCUUAUAAUGUAUGUCUGUUCAUGCUCCUUAAAAACAUUUUAAUGUAUAGGUCUGAAAAACAUUUUACUGUGUAAUGGGCUUAUACAUCUUAAUAUAGGUAUGAAGAAGUUCUAGAACUAAAUGACUUGA
This is a long non-coding RNA of Papaver somniferum (opium poppy), 776 nucleotides long. RefSeq lists it as uncharacterized. The transcript has 2 exons. The record is from RefSeq and is a predicted model, not a curated record. NCBI's taxonomy places the organism in Eukaryota, Viridiplantae, Streptophyta, Magnoliopsida, Ranunculales, Papaveraceae.